AACAGGAUUAGAUACCCUGGUAGUCCACGCUGUAAACGAUGUCGACUUGGAGGUUGUGCCCUUGAGGCGUGGCUUCCGGAGCUAACGCGUUAAGUCGACCGCCUGGGGAGUACGGCCGCAAGGUUAAAACUCAAAUGAAUUGACGGGGGCCCGCACAAGCGGUGGAGCAUGUGGUUUAAUUCGAUGCAACGCGAAGAACCUUACCUACUCUUGACAUCCAGAGAAUUUGCUAGAGAUAGCUUAGUGCCUUCGGGAACUCUGAGACAGGUGCUGCAUGGCUGUCGUCAGCUCGUGUUGUGAAAUGUUGGGUUAAGUCCCGCAACGAGCGCAACCCUUAUCCCUUGUUGCCAGCGAGUAAUGUCGGGAACUCAAAGGAGACUGCCGGUGAUAAACCGGAGGAAGGUGGGGAUGACGUCAAGUCAUCAUGGCCCUUACGAGUAGGGCUACACACGUGCUACAAUGGCAUAUACAAAGAGAAGCGAACUCGCGAGAGCAAGCGGACCUCAUAAAGUAUGUCGUAGUCCGGAUUGGAGUCUGCAACUCGACUCCAUGAAGUCGGAAUCGCUAGUAAUCGUAGAUCAGAAUGCUACGGUGAAUACGUUCCCGGGCCUUGUACACACCGCCCGUCACACCAUGGGAGUGGGUUGCAAAAGAAGUAGGUAGCUUAACCUUCGGGAGGGCGCUUACCACUUUGUGAUUCAUGACUGGGGUGAAGUCGUAACAAGGUAACC
Molecule: ribosomal RNA, 731 nt
Filed under: uncultured bacterium
Lineage: Bacteria
Description: bacterial SSU rRNA
Rfam family: Bacterial small subunit ribosomal RNA
Source: RNAcentral